CAAAGUCUAUCCCUCACAUGCCCCAGCUUUGCAUCUUGAACAUGCCGAGAGGGCUCUCAAAGAGCGGCAGCCUGUUACACAGUGUUACUGUGGCUGUAAUCAGUAGGCAUACAUUGGAUAUCCUUGUGAUGACUGAGAGCUAUCUGAACAACCUUUAAGAACACUGGCCACUUCCAGUUCAGCUGUGAGAACAGGCAGGGGAGAUACAGUCUCUCUUCAUACCACCUUUGUUCCUCCUGGAGGGGUGCGAGGGGAUGGUGAGCGCCAGCGCCUACUCUCCAAAAUUCCUGCAGAGUAUCGUGUGGUCCUCUUUUUUUAUCUUUUCACUUUGCCCCAAGCCUAAUGCUUAUUAGUAGUUAAUGAAGUCGUUUGGACUGUGUCAUGACCAACACACAGGUAAGAUUCACUAUCUAUUAAAUAAUUGUUUUAAAUAUUGCAUUAAAUAAUCUAGGACUCAGUUUCUGAAGACUGUGGCCAGGCAGUGUGGGAAGUGGUUACAGGAAGGCUGUUCUUUACUAGAUAUAUCCUUCAGCUCUGUUCCCAACCAGCAGGUUAGUUAACCAGGAUUUAGGUCCUCUUUACCAACACACAGGAUAAAAUUGCCAGAUUCCCUGAUAGCGUGAAGUAGGACGUAGACGUGAGAUUCCCUAUACAGGCACAGAGGAAUAAAUAGAAUUAAACAUGAGUAAAAAGUUAGUCUAAUUAGUGUCAUAGCAGAGGAAAAAGGGUAAUUUAAACUAGAAUUUGAAUUGUAAUGCCGCAGCAUUAGCAGUGGCAUUCUGACGUACAGAAUUACUGUGCGGCUUUCCACCCCUUUUCAGAAAAUAUGUUUCUGGCUGAACAGGGUUGAAUACCUCUGAAAAAUGUCCUAAAUAUUUAGAAUACUGCUAGUCCUCUGCAAACCCAUUAAAAAAAAGUAUUAAUACCUAGUGUUUAGGAUUAUUAAUUCCUUGUUUGUUAAUGAUUUCCACAUGGAGGUGCUGUAGAGUUAGAAAUGAUCCAAGAGAAAACACUAGGUUUUGAAAGAACGUAGAAACAUUGUAUCAUCUCUUGGUUAACUGAGCAAACCCCAAAUCUGUCAUUAAUGCUGAGGGAUAUGUGUCCUUUCAGCUUUUGCUAACCAUAACAAGUUUCAGUAGAGCUUGGAAAGAUGGGUCAAGAAACCUUUUUACUUUGUUAAUGGCUUCUAUUCACUAUGCACCCAAACAUGCUGAUCUCAGUAAAAUGAAAAUGGCAAAUAAUAUUGGUCCAUUCCCUUCAUCCUUUCUCUGUGCCUUCAGAGACUUCUGUCAGAUGGACCUACCAGCCCACAGGGUGGCUGUGAAUGCAGACCUUUGUUGUCAUUCUUUUGCCUUACUGAGCUUUCAGCAGGACUUUUCUGAAGCCCCUUCCAGAUAUGAGCUCUUGAGCCUUACAGCCCAAGUGCAUUUGAAGGAUACUUAUACUAUGUUUCAAGGAUAACCCAAAGAUUAUGGAGGAUAAACUAUGGCUAAUCCUGUCAGUGCAUAGGUCAGGCUAUGGUGGCUGACGCGACUUGCGGGGGCAUAGCUUGCAUUAGCCCAAGAUCACUUUUCCAUGUAGCUGAAAUAGUUUCUUCAAAUGUAGUAAUCUAAGUCAGCAAAAGAGUUGUCACAACCGUGACUGUACCUUCUUGUUGUCCUUGCUGUGCUACCUGUUGUGGUUUAGAGGCAUGGAGCCAAGGCAGUAUCAGUGUAGCGUGGCCAUCAGUAUUUUUAGCUAAGGGGAAGUUCUGCACAUGGACUGAACUCUCCGUUGGUUUCUUUCCAGCUGGAAUCCCCUGAAAUAAAAAUUUGUGUUAGUUAUUUGCAGGAUUGAAAUCUCUGUGGUAGGUUGACCCCAGACAGCAAUGAAACACCCACCAGCCACUCAUUCCCCCACCCCAGUGGGAUAUAGGAGAGAACUGGAAGAGCAAAAGAGAGAAAAAAAUGUGAGUUGAGAUAAAGACAGCUUAAUAAGAGAAAGGAAGAGGAGGAAAAACACCAAGUGAUAUAAAGAUAUUCACUCUACACCUCUCACAAGCAGGCUGAUGCCAGUCUCCAAGCAACAGCUAGCUAGAAAGUCUACCCCCAGUUUUAUUGCUGUAAGUAACAUCAUAUGGUAUGGAAUAUCCCUUGGGUCCCUUUGAUCAGCUGGGGUCAGCUGUCCUGCUGUGUCCCCUCCCAGUCUCUUGCCCAACCCCAGCUUACUCGCUGGAGAGGGCACAGAGUGAGAAAAGGAGAAGGCCUUGAUGUUGUUUAGCAAUAGCUAAAACAUCUGUGUGUUAUUAGCACUGUUCUAGUCACUGAUUUAAACCACAGUACCAUAUGGGCUGCUAUAAAAAAUUAAUUCCAUCCCAGCCAGAUCCAGCAGGGUCUCCUACACCAUAAAGUCCCUGGUUUUGCAUUCCUGGUUCUUGGUUUCCUUUUCCUGGAACAAUUUCUUGGUUCCUGUUCCCAUUUUUCUGCUAUAUUUAAAAAAGUAUACUUGAAAUAAAUGUUUCUUCUGUAACAAGUGCUAGAAGCAUCUUGCUGUGCUUGGAACCAGUGCUAAAACCCACAAAAUUACCAGGCACUGAUAAAUUCAUAACAGUUUAUGCAAUAUACUUCCUUAGUCAGGGUAGAUCCAUCUAUUAUUCUUUCUCCACACAAAUACAUGCACCCCUUAUUUCAACAAAUAUACAAAUAAAACUAUUAAUAUUAGUGAACUAUAAUGGAAGGUAGAAAACUAUUCAAUGCUUAUUCUAUUAUAUUAUAUAUACAUUUGUGUAUAUAUGCACACGCAUUUUUAUUGGUACAGCUUUAUUUAUUUAUGCAAUAGCUGUAAGAUUUAUGGAGAGGAUCCUGAGAACAGACAAAGGCCAGAGCUAUCACUGAUAUCAAAAACAGACUUUUGAAAGUCCAUCUAUUCUGACUGGGACUGCAUUAGAGAAAAACUAGAAAUGAAAUCUAAGUUGAUUUGAUUUCUUAAACUAAAAGGUAGAAAAGAUAAUUGCCCCAUCUUCCUUGAAAAAAAAAUAAAAAUGCCGGUGAUUAUAUCAGUUCAGAUCAGAUGUGGUUUACAGAAGCCCAGACACAACCUCAAAAAAAGUGGUCAGCCGCCAGGAAAGAAUAUCUUUCUAACACACCACUUCUUGGCCCAUAUAUACUCUGUCUUCCACUCCAUUCAUGUUCAUCCUGUAUCACUCUGCAACCUUUCACCACUGAGCUGGUCAAUAUUUGAAAUGUCCCAAACCGCACUAUAACCCAUAGCUGGUCUUGGUUCCCUUCACCUAUGCAGGGUCAAAUAGUAUUUUUGCUGCCUGUAAAGGAACCAAUUCAGUGGAAACUGCUGUGUACGCAGCAGAAAAGACUAGAACAGGUGCCUAAGUAAUUUCAAAUUCCCACUAAGAAAAAAAAAAAUCUUACCUUUAUGAGAAGGUGGAUUAGAACUAGAAGAGGGCUAAAUCUAAUUUCUUACCCUCCUCUGCCUUUAAUUGCCUUAAUGCAAAGGCUUUUUUCAGCUGUUCAUCUGAAAAAGCUUAUGGGGAAUUUUUUACUGCAAUACCUUAAUGACAGAUAAGGCAUUCGUGACAGCUGGAAGAAUCUUUUUGGUUGGAGCGUUAAGCUCGGUGCUUAUUUUAAAUAUUGCUGCUCAUAAGACAGUCCCUUGUGUUCUAGUGAUAUGUGUCUGAUGAUUUCAUGUAGCAUGUCAAAUUCUUUCUUCUCGUAGAUACGCAUGACUUGCCAUUGCCCUGAAUAGACUCCAGUCUAAUGGCAGGCAGUAAUUUACAAUGGCAGCAAUUUACAAUGGCAGCUUUUUAUUAUUUUACUCAUUUUAUCUUUCUGUAAGUGAACAAUCCUUUGUCUGAUUGUGUUUCUGAAGCUGUUCUGGUCAGACAGACAGGCUCUUGCAUUGCUCUGAGCUAUAAAAAUCUUAGCAGGCUAAAUAGUUCAGAUGGCAAUUAGUCAAUAGUUGUUUCCCCUGGCUGCCAAAACAACUUAAGCAUGCCCUGAAUAUAGUGAAUAUUUGCUUAAAAAUCAAGCACCCAGGCUGCUCAAAUAAAUUCACAGGACGAUGAAAUGAUUGUGUGUGAAGAGUCUUUAGCUGUGGUUGAGGUGGAGAAGUGAUAACUUCCAUUAGAGCCAAAAUUAAAUGAAAAUAUGUAAAAUUUAGAUUUUGAGGUUAAGUUCUUCCUGAUAUUGGAAAAAUCAGUAUGAAACACACAUUUCAGCAUAGUAUCCCUCUAUUUUACAUUACUUUUUUCCCCAAGUUCUUUUUUGCUUUAUAAAGUAUAGCCCCCAUAUUCUGUGAAAGCUAAACUCUAAAGUAAAAGGAAAAAACAGAUUAUUUUCUAUGUCUCUAAUCCCAUCUCUUCUUUGGUGACCCUGUAGCAUUACUGGAUGCAAAUAUGCAGGGACCAAAAUCUUAGGAUCUGCUUAGAAACUGAUAUAUUUUCCACUAACUCUUGCAUAGUAACAAUCAUCUUUAUCAUGGUAUCAGCAUUUAACAUCCUGUAUAGAGAGGGUAAUCAUGUUUAGUUAGCAACGGCAAUUGUUCAUACUUCUUUGUCUGAAUUGUUUCAAAAUCAAGGCAAACUUUCCUUAGGGCUGGUACAACAUACUUUCACAAUAAAAUUAAGGGAGAAGAGGCAUCUAAAAUUUUCCUAUUCUCUUUGAAUUUGGAAAGCCUCCUCCUGCCAAGGUGAAAUGCUGUAUCAACCCCACGUGGUAUCAAAGUUUUCCCUCUCCUGUGUGCACAUGGUCCGCAGAAUUUUCCUCUGUAUUAUGUAAUGAAACAAGAGGGAUUUCCUCAUCAUUUCAGAAACACAUUUCUAAUGAUCAUGCUCCAUCACUGGCUUGGAUCUCCUUGGGUUAAUUAAAACCAUUUAUAAUUUUCCAAAAACACCACUGUCCUUGCCUACCAAGAUAAAGCAAUACUCUGCAGGUCUGAAAAUAAACUCUGCAUGGGAGAGUCUGUUCAAUAAGCAGCUAGGUAAUAGAUGUACAACUGCUGACUGCCAGGUACGAGCUGGGAGCCAAGAGGGUUAGGGCUCUGCUGGAAAGAAACUACACCUUGGCAGUAAUGAAUUUCAGGAUAUUUUUGACACCAUAAUGCAGCAAGUAAAUGAAGAAUAACAGCACAGGUGAGAACUACUGAAUUUGUAGAUGACAAAGGUAAUCAGUAAUACUAGGGCUACAAUGAUGGAUGAAAUUAUUAAGCUGUUCGUUUCAUUCACAGAUAACCACUGUAUGAAGGAGCAGUGUUCACUUAAUUUACUAGUGUUUCAGGAAUUUAGUUCUUAAUGGAAAUGCCUGGGCAUCUGCAAAGACCCUCAGCACGAACUGGAGUUUGCUAUGAAAGAACCUCACUGUUUAAUCUUGUAAGGUGCUCUUCUUUUUAUUAGCAUAUAAUUACUCUACAGGAGUCAUACAGUUUCUGUUGUUCUGUGAUUAAUUUAAAGUUAACACCUGUUUGAUUUAGCUAGUUUUUGUUUCUUUCUUAUUGGGGUUUAAUGGUAUUGCUUUUCAUGAGGAUGCUGUUCUGCCAGAUUCACUUGUCAGUUUUAACCAGUUUGUGAAAUAAUUGGGUACUGUUAAAGUCUCAAUGAAGAAUCUGGUGCCUUUUUCAUACUUAUUUAACUAGUAUGAAUUUAACUCUGAGUUAGAAAUAACUGAAAAUUAUAGUUAACUGAUGAGUUUUCUUCAACCUCCUCUCAAAUAAUUAUGCCUCCAUGUAAAACAGUAAACAGUUCUCAGUGCACUGAAACGAUCACCACAUUUUAAGUUAACCAGCAUCUUCCAGAGAAACGCCAGGACACUAUGGAACAGUCUCCCGAAGCGUUGGGCACAGGCGGUGAGAUACAGAAAGGCUGGCAUUGGUGCCACUGCCCACAUGACAACCUUUUUGUCGUUGUGUAAGAGGGCUUCAGCACUUAUGGCUGUUGGCUUACCGUAUUUUGUAGAUACUAGAUUCACAGAAUUAAAAAGGAAAUAAAGUUGCGAGUUCCUUGCCUGAAGCUUGUUUACCCAGGGACAGAAGUGAGGCGCCAGGGAACAACCCACCGCCACAGUAAAAAGGGUACUGCACUUGGAGGUAGGGGUAUGACUACCACAUUUGUUAACAUACUUCAUCCUUCUGCAGUUAUUUUCAGCAAAAUGGUGUACACCCACAGCCUGUAUGUGAUCAUAUUUCGUUAGUAAACAGUACAUGAACAGGCUAGUCUGUUUUAAUAAUAGUAAGAAUUGCACAUUAGUAAUUUGUGUACCUCUACACUGAAAAUGUCUGAUUUACAUGCUUUGGUGGUAUUCGUUUACUUGCAGGGAACACCUGGCAUGCUAGGCACAUCAAAAACGAACAACACGCACCCCUCCCGAAAUUAGCUGCAGCUUAACAUCAUCCAUUUAGUCAGCCUGGUAAUUUUUAAAGGAACUCUAGAUGUAGAGUGCUUAAUGUCAUUCUUUCUUCGGGUCUUGCAGCAAAUAUAUAUUCACUUCUGGUGUAUGUGUAAAAGUGCAAAGUGAGUUUUAUAAUACACGUACCUGAUCCUGUUCUUUUAACAAAGCUUGCAAACUUACUGUAGAGAAUCGCCGUGAGGUACGUUGUGCCAGGUGACACAGUUUUCAAGGAAGCCUGUGUGCAGACUGUUUAAGCUAAAAGGAAAAUUGUGACGGAGGAACUGAUUCUACACAUGUCCCUGGAGUCCCAUUAAAAUCAUGUCCUUCUUUUGUGUCCUUGGAACAUUACCUGAUGCUGUCUCCAUCAUCAGAUGGAGUCACUCUCCAUCAUCAGGAUUGCUUGAAUGCUGCAGAAUGAUACUCUCGGAUGUUAAUUUGGAAUGUAAGCAGCUGUUCACUUUGCUGAUGCUGGAUCUAUUUUACUUCACUCUGCCUCAGUAUUUGCAUGAAAAACAACGUCCUGAUGUCUACACAUGUGACUGAUAAAUAGCUGAUAUUCUUAAGUGUCCAGUUCUGGGCCCCUCAGUUCAAGAAGGACAGGGAACUGCUUGAGCAAGUCCAGCGGAGAGCUACCAAGAUGAUCAGGGGACUGGAGCAUCUCCCUUAUAAGGAAAGGCUGAGAGACCUGGGUUUGUUCAACCUGG
Non-coding RNA from Phalacrocorax carbo (great cormorant), 7078 nucleotides. Lineage: Eukaryota; Metazoa; Chordata; Aves; Suliformes; Phalacrocoracidae. The record is from RefSeq and is a predicted model, not a curated record.